RNAcentral lists this ribosomal RNA (470 nucleotides) under Streptococcus sp. oral taxon 064. Its description in RNAcentral is "bacterial SSU rRNA". It matches the Rfam family "Bacterial small subunit ribosomal RNA", at positions 28 to 483 of the family's 1533-position model. The record is from RNAcentral. Lineage: Bacteria; Bacillati; Bacillota; Bacilli; Lactobacillales; Streptococcaceae.
GACGAACGCUGGCCGGCGUGCCUAAUACAUGCAAGUAGAACGCUGAAGGAGGAGCUUGCUCUUCUGGAUGAGUUGCGAACGGGUGAGUAACGCGUAGGUAACCUGCCUGGUAGCGGGGGAUCUCUAUUGGAAACGAUAGCUAAUACCGCAUAAUAGUAGAUGUUGCAUGACAUUUGCUUAAAAGGUGCAAUUGCAUCACUACCAGAUGGACCUGCGUUGUAUUAGCUAGUUGGUGAGGUAACGGCUCACCAAGGCAACGAUACAUAGCCGACCUGAGAGGGUGAUCGGCCACACUGGGACUGAGACACGGCCCAGACUCCUACGGGAGGCAGCAGUAGGGAAUCUUCGGCAAUGGACGGAAGUCUGACCGAGCAACGCCGCGUGAGUGAAGAAGGUUUUCGGAUCGUAAAGCUCUGUUGUAAGAGAAGAACGAGUGUGAGAGUGGAAAGUUCACACUGUGACGUAUCUAC